Molecule: ribosomal RNA, 1568 nt
Filed under: human gut metagenome
Description: Bacterial small subunit ribosomal RNA
Rfam family: Bacterial small subunit ribosomal RNA
Source: RNAcentral
UAUUGAGAGUUUGAUCCUGGCUCAGGAUAAACGCUGGCGGCAUGCCUAAGACAUGCAAGUCGAACGAGACGCCCCAUUGAGAACGGAAAUAAAUUGGAGAGCUUGCUCAAAGAUGGAAAUAAGUAGGAUUUGGAUUCUGCGUCCAGUGGCGAACGGGUGAGUAACACGUGGGUUACCUGCCUUCAAGCUGGGGAUAACAGUUAGAAAUGAUUGCUAAUACCGAAUGUGCUAGAAAUAGUAAAGAAGCCUUUAAAGCUUCACUUGAAGAUGGGCCUGCGGCGUAUUAGAUAGUUGGUGGGGUAACUGCCUACCAAGUCAACGAUGCGUAGCCGGACUGAGAGGUUGAUCGGCCACACUGGGACUGAGACACGGCCCAGACUCCUACGGGAGACAGCAGUUAGGAAUAUUCGGCAAUGGGCGAAAGCCUGACCGAGCAAUGCCGCGUGUGAGAUGAAGGUCCUCUGGAUUGUAAAUCACUUUUAUUAGGGAAGAACGGUAAGUAUAGGAAAUGCUACUUACGUGACGGUACCUUUUGAAUAAGCCCCGGCUAACUACGUGCCAGCAGCCGCGGUAAUACGUAGGGGGCGAGCGUUAUCCGGAUUUAUUGGGCGUAAAGCGUGUGUAGGCGGUUUAUUAAGUCCGAGAUGAAAGGCUGAGGCUUAACCUCAGUUUGUUUCGGAAACUGGUAGACUAGAGUGCAGUAGAGGCAAUUGGAAUUCAUAGUGUAGCGGUAAAAUGCGUAGAUAUUAUGAGGAACAUCAGUGGCGAAGGCGAAUUGCUGGGCUGUUACUGACGCUGAGACACGAAAGCGUGGGGAGCAAAUAGGAUUAGAUACCCUAGUAGUCCACGCCGUAAACGAUGAGCACUAAGUGUCGGGCAACCGGUGCUGAAGUUAACACAUUAAGUGCUCCGCCUGAGUAGUACGGUCGCAAGACUGAAACUCAAAGGAAUUGACGGGCACCCGCACAAGCGGUGGAGCAUGCCGUUUAAUUCGAAAAUACGCGAAGAACCUUACCAAGACUUGACAUCCCCGGCAAAGCUAUAGAAAUAUAGUAGAGGUUACCCGGGUGACAGGUGGUGCAUGGUUGUCGUCAGCUCGUGUCGUGAGAUGUUCGGUUAAGUCCGCUAACGAGCGCAACCCUUGUCAUUAGUUACUAACAUUCAGUUGAGAACUCUAAUGAGACUGCCGGUAUCAAACCGGAGGAAGGUGGGGAUGACGUCAAAUCAUCAUGCCCCUUACGUCUUGGGCAACAGGCGUGCUACAAUGGCUGGUACAAUGAGCUGCAAACCCGCGAGGGGGAGCCAAUCUAAAAAGCCAGUCGUAGUUCGGAUUGAAGUCUGCAACUCGACUUCAUGAAGCUGAAAUCGCUAGUAAUCCUGGAUCAGAAUGCCAGGGUGAAUACGUUCUCGGGUGUUGUACACACCGCCCGUCAAGGCAUGGGAGUCGGUAAUAUCCGAAGUCGGUAGCCUAACCAGUAAUGGAGGGGGCCGCCUAAGAUAGGACCGGUGACUGGGCUUAAGUCGUAACAAGGUAUCCCUACCGGAAGGUGGGGAUGGAUCACCUCCUU